UACGUAGGGUGCAAGCGUUGUCCGGAAUUAUUGGGCGUAAAGAGCUCGUAGGCGGUCUGUCGCGUCGGCUGUGAAAACUCGGGGCUCAACUCCGAGCUUGCAGUCGAUACGGGCAGGCUAGAGUUCGGUAGGGGAGACUGGAAUUCCUGGUGUAGCGGUGAAAUGCGUAGAGAUCGGGAGGAACACCAGUGGCGAAGGCGGCCUUCUGGACCAAUACUGACGCUCAUGCACGAAAGCGUGGGGAGCAAACAGG
Molecule: ribosomal RNA, 253 nt
Filed under: uncultured bacterium
Lineage: Bacteria
Description: partial 16S ribosomal RNA
Rfam family: Bacterial small subunit ribosomal RNA
Source: RNAcentral